CAGGGAAUCUUCCACAAUGGACGCAAGUCUGAUGGAGCAACGCCGCGUGAGUGAAGAAGGUUUUCGGAUCGUAAAGCUCUGUUGUUGGUGAAGAAGGAUAGAGGCAGUAACUGGUCUUUAUUUGACGGUAAUCAACCAGAAAGUCACGGCUAACUACGUGCCAGCAGCCGCGGUAAUACGUAGGUGGCAAGCGUUGUCCGGAUUUAUUGGGCGUAAAGCGAGCGCAGGCGGAAUGAUAAGUCUGAUGUGAAAGCCCACGGCUCAACCGUGGAACUGCAUCGGAAACUGUCAUUCUUGAGUGCAGAAGAGGAGAGUGGAAUUCCAUGUGUAGCGGUGGAAUGCGUAGAUAUAUGGAAGAACACCAGUGGCGAAGGCGGCUCUCUGGUCUGCAACUGACGCUGAGGCUCGAAAGCAUGGGUAGCGAACAGG
This 429-nucleotide ribosomal RNA is filed under the name bacterium. Its description in RNAcentral is "partial 16S ribosomal RNA". It matches the Rfam family "Bacterial small subunit ribosomal RNA", at positions 355 to 776 of the family's 1533-position model. The record is from RNAcentral.